UUUCGGGGCGAGGUGCAAUUCCUCACCGGUGGUACAGUCCACGACCUGUCGCAGACAGCUGAUUCGGUGCAAUUCCGAAACCGACGGUUAAAGUCCGGAUGAAAGAAA
Molecule: non-coding RNA, 108 nt
Filed under: uncultured Eubacterium sp.
Lineage: Bacteria; Bacillati; Bacillota; Clostridia; Eubacteriales; Eubacteriaceae
Description: FMN riboswitch (RFN element)
Rfam family: FMN riboswitch aptamer (RFN element)
About the family: The RFN element is a highly conserved domain that is found frequently in the 5'-untranslated regions of prokaryotic mRNAs that encode for flavin mononucleotide (FMN) biosynthesis and transport proteins.
Source: RNAcentral